Molecule: RNA transcript, 1169 nt
Organism: Populus trichocarpa (black cottonwood)
Lineage: Eukaryota; Viridiplantae; Streptophyta; Magnoliopsida; Malpighiales; Salicaceae
Gene name: tropinone reductase homolog At2g29290
Exons: 6
Source: RefSeq, a predicted model, not a curated record
ACAUGACGUUCAAUCAUUUUUUUUCCUUGUUUUGCAGACUUCGUGGCUCACAUUCUCACUUACUUUCCACAUUUAUUCUGGCUACUCAGUGUACUCUUUAAUUAUAACCUGUAGGUAUUAUUGAGCUUGAAGGAGAGAAAGAGAAGAUGUCUCUAGAGAGCAGUAGCAGGGAUAAGAGAUGGGGUCUCCAAGGAAUGACAGCCCUUGUCACCGGUGGAACCAAAGGGCUCGGUUAUGCUAUCGUGGAAGAGUUAGCAGCGCUAGGGGCAAUUGUUCAUACAUGUGCGAGGAACCAAGACCAGAUCAAUGAACGCGUUAGGGAAUGGAAGGAGAAGGGUUUCAAAGUUACUGGUUCAGUCUGUGAUGUAUCCUCUAAUGCUGAAAGAGAGAAGCUGAUGAAGGAGGUUUCCUCUCUGUUUGAUGGGAAGCUUAAUAUCCUUGUAAACAAUGCUGGGACAAACAUAUAUAAAGCGACCUUAGAUUACACAGCUGAGGAUUUCACAUCUCUCAUGAACACAAACCUUCAAUCUGCUUUCCAUUUGUCCCAACUUGCACAUCCCCUUUUGAAAGCUUCAGGGGCUGGAAAGAUUGUCUUCAUGUCUUCCAUUAUUAGUGUGGUAUCUAUGAACCCUCAGUAUCCUUUGUAUUCAGCUUCUAAAGGUGCAAUGAACCAACUUACAAGGAAUUUGGCGUGCGAAUGGGCUAAGGACAAUAUAAGGGUUAACGCAGUUGCACCCUGGUUCAUCCGAACUCCACUCACAGCACAUAGUCUGGAUGAUGAGAGCAUUGUGAAGGAGGUUUUCAAUCGAACCCCCAUGAGACGCGUUGGGGAACCAGGAGAGGUCUCUUCUGUUGUCGCAUUUCUAUGCUUGCCUGCACCAGGUUUCUUAACAGGACAAGUCAUAUGCAUUGAUGGAGGGAUGUCAGUGAAUGGCUUUUCCAUGGGUUGAAAAUUAGCUGCUCUGAGGCGUGAAUUCAUCUACUUGUUGGAUUGAAUAAGGCAGUCUUCUUGCCCUUUGAUGAUGUUUUUAACUAUCCUGCCAAAUAAGAGGAUUGUCUCAGGCUAUCAGCCUCUCAAUGACUUGGAGCUAAUUUAAUAUUAUUUAUUUGGGUGUUUUCAAUGAUCAAUAAACUAUCAUUUCAAUUAAUAAUUGUUUAUUUUCAAAGAA